Molecule: ribosomal RNA, 1049 nt
Filed under: Salmonella enterica subsp. enterica serovar Newport
Lineage: Bacteria; Pseudomonadati; Pseudomonadota; Gammaproteobacteria; Enterobacterales; Enterobacteriaceae
Description: partial 23S ribosomal RNA
Rfam family: Bacterial large subunit ribosomal RNA
Source: RNAcentral
AGACCCGAAACCCGGUGAUCUAGCCAUGGGCAGGUUGAAGGUUGGGUAACACUAACUGGAGGACCGAACCGACUAAUGUUGAAAAAUUAGCGGAUGACCUGUGGCUGGGGGUGAAAGGCCAAUCAAACCGGGAGAUAGCUGGUUCUCCCCGAAAGCUAUUUAGGUAGCGCCUCGUGAAUUCAUCUCCGGGGGUAGAGCACUGUUUCGGCUAGGGGGCCAUCCCGGCUUACCAACCCGAUGCAAACUGCGAAUACCGGAGAAUGUUAUCACGGGAGACACACGGCGGGUGCUAACGUCCGUCGUGAAGAGGGAAACAACCCAGACCGCCAGCUAAGGUCCCAAAGUCAUGGUUAAGUGGGAAACGAUGUGGGAAGGCCCAGACAGCCAGGAUGUUGGCUUAGAAGCAGCCAUCAUUUAAAGAAAGCGUAAUAGCUCACUGGUCGAGUCGGCCUGCGCGGAAGAUGUAACGGGGCUAAACCAUGCACCGAAGCUGCGGCAGCGACACUCAGGUGUUGUUGGGUAGGGGAGCGUUCUGUAAGCCUGCGAAGGUGGCCUGUGAGGGUUGCUGGAGGUAUCAGAAGUGCGAAUGCUGACAUAAGUAACGAUAAAGCGGGUGAAAAGCCCGCUCGCCGGAAGACCAAGGGUUCCUGUCCAACGUUAAUCGGGGCAGGGUGAGUCGACCCCUAAGGCGAGGCCGAAAGGCGUAGUCGAUGGGAAACGGGUUAAUAUUCCCGUACUUGGUGUUACUGCGAAGGGGGGACGGAGAAGGCUAUGUUGGCCGGGCGACGGUUGUCCCGGUUUAAGCGUGUAGGUGUGUGUUCCAGGUAAAUCCGGUUCACUUUAACACUGAGGCGUGAUGACGAGGCACUACGGUGCUGAAGCAACAAAUGCCCUGCUUCCAGGAAAAGCCUCUAAGCAUCAGGUAACAUCAAAUCGUACCCCAAACCGACACAGGUGGUCAGGUAGAGAAUACCAAGGCGCUUGAGAGAACUCGGGUGAAGGAACUAGGCAAAAUGGUGCCGUAACUUCGGGAGAAGGCACGCUGACAC